This 232-nucleotide ribosomal RNA is filed under the name uncultured bacterium. Its description in RNAcentral is "partial 16S ribosomal RNA". It matches the Rfam family "Bacterial small subunit ribosomal RNA", at positions 524 to 755 of the family's 1533-position model. The record is from RNAcentral.
UACAGAGGGUGCGAGCGUUAAUCGGAAUUACUGGGCGUAAAGGGCGCGUAGGUGGAAGACUAAGUCGGAUGUGAAAUCCCCGGGCUUAACCUGGGAAUGGCAUACGAUACUGGUCAUCUAGAGUUGGUUAGAGGGAAGUGGAAUUUCCGGUGUAGCGGUGAAAUGCGUAGAUAUCGGAAGGAACACCAGUGGCGAAGGCGGCUUCCUGGAUCCAAACUGACACUGAGGCGCG